RNAcentral lists this long non-coding RNA (761 nucleotides) under Homo sapiens (human). RNAcentral's name for it is "HSALNT0297427". Lineage: Eukaryota; Metazoa; Chordata; Mammalia; Primates; Hominidae. The record is from RNAcentral.
GAAACCUCCUGCCUUGCCUCGUUUGAGAGACAUAGUGACAGAGAGUACACCUUUAACCAGAGGAAUUCAAAAUGCCUUGGAAGCAGGAAACAACUCCAUGAAUUCUUUGGGGGAAAAGCCCAAAUCCUAAAACCUGGUUUCACAUGGAGUGGAGCCUAGGCGAGAUGAAAUUAAAGUCCAGGUCAAGGAAGGUAGUUUCAAUCAGCCUCAAAGAAAUCCCAGAGCCAACUGGCCAACAGCUGCGUGCCCUUGGGUAACACCUGCUGGCCCGGCACAGAAAUGUUCUCAUUCUGCGGGACGCCACCUCCCACAGAGGACUGCAAACGCCCCAGGCGGCCUGGACCCGGAGUGGAGCCUCCCGGGGUGGAGACUGGACGGGGUGGUGACGGGAUUGGACGGCUGGAGUGUGCGGUCACUAGGGGGUGGGGCUAGGGCGGGCCACGUUUGGACUGCGAGGCCCGGGCCUGAAAGGAAUCCCUCUUUGGCCGGCGCCACCCUGUUCAACCCUGAUGCAAUACACUUGCCCUUUGCGUUUACCCGGGGCAAAUAUUUAACCUUUCCAUUUUUUGCACUGACUUAAUGAGUCUCGGUGUCUACCACAGGGCUUGACACAUAGCAGACAUCCGAUAUCUGUUUGUGAAUGCUCAAGCCCGUCAGCGUGUCUGUCUCCUAGGGGAGUCGUGUUCUCAGACUUGUCAGCAUUUCAGCACCCAGUUAUGACAUGUCAUGUGGGCUACUACUGGUAAAAACUGAGCAUCCAG